AAGGGUAUAGCUCAGUGGUAUAGAGAGCAUGCCUAGCAUGCACGAGGUCCUGGGUUCAAGCCCCAGGACCUCCA
This 74-nucleotide transfer RNA is filed under the name Camelus bactrianus (Bactrian camel). It matches the Rfam family "tRNA". Rfam says of the family: Transfer RNA (tRNA) molecules are approximately 80 nucleotides in length. Lineage: Eukaryota; Metazoa; Chordata; Mammalia; Artiodactyla; Camelidae. RNAcentral also lists the same sequence under 2 other names. The record is from Rfam by way of RNAcentral.